Molecule: ribosomal RNA, 164 nt
Filed under: uncultured bacterium
Lineage: Bacteria
Description: partial 16S rRNA
Rfam family: Bacterial small subunit ribosomal RNA
Source: RNAcentral
UAGGGAAUCUUCCACAAUGGGCGCAAGCCUGAUGGAGCAACGCCGCGUGAGUGAAGAAGGUCUUCGGAUACGUAAAACUCUGUUGUUAGAGAAGACAUGCGAGAGAGUAACUGUUCUUGUAUUGACGGUAUCUAACCAGAAAGCCACGGCUAACUACGUGUCAG